GAUGAAGAACGCAGCGAAAUGCGAUAAGUAGUGUGAAUUGCAGAAUUCAGUGAAUCAUCGAAUCUUUGAACGCACAUUGCGGCCAUAGGUAUUCCUUUGGCCAUGCCUGUUCGAGCGUCAUUUACACCCUCAAGCCUAGCUUGGUGUUGGGCGCCUGUCCCGCCGUUUUCGCGCGCGGACUCGCCUCAAAGUCAUUGGCGGCGGUCGUGCCGGCCCCCUCGCGCAGCACAUUUGCGCUUCUCGGAGGCCCGGCGGAUCCGCGCUCCAGCAAGACCUUUCACGACUUGACCUUGGAUCAGGUAGGGAUACCCGCUGAACUUAAGCAUAUCAAUAAGCGGAGGA
This 342-nucleotide unclassified non-coding RNA is filed under the name soil metagenome. RNAcentral's name for it is "partial contains 5.8S ribosomal RNA, internal transcribed spacer 2, and large subunit ribosomal RNA". The stretch from base 1 to 120 matches the Rfam family "5.8S ribosomal RNA", at positions 35 to 154 of the family's 154-position model. The record is from RNAcentral.